GAUGAACGCUGGCGGCGUGCCUAAUACAUGCAAGUCGAGCGAACAGACGAGGAGCUUGCUCCUCUGACGUUAGCGGCGGACGGGUGAGUAACACGUGGAUAACCUACCUAUGAGACUGGGAUAACUUCGGGAAACCGGAGCUAAUACCGGAUAAUAUAUUGAACCGCAUGGUUCAAUAGUGAAAGACGGUUUUGCUGUCACUUAUAGAUGGAUCCGCGCCGCAUUAGCUAGUUGGUAAGGUAACGGCUUACCAAGGCAACGAUGCGUAGCCGACCUGAGAGGGUGAUCGGCCACACUGGAACUGAGACACGGUCCAGACUCCUACGGGAGGCAGCAGUAGGGAAUCUUCCGCAAAGGGCGAAAGCCUGACGGAGCAACGCCGCGUGAGUGAUGAAGGUCUUCGGAUCGUAAAACUCUGUUAUUAGGGAAGAACAAAUGUGUAAGUAACUAUGCACGUCUUGACGGUACCUAAUCAGAAAGCCACGGCUAACUACGUG
Molecule: ribosomal RNA, 497 nt
Filed under: uncultured bacterium
Lineage: Bacteria
Description: partial 16S ribosomal RNA
Rfam family: Bacterial small subunit ribosomal RNA
Source: RNAcentral